AGGAAAAGAAACCAACAGGGAUUGCCUCAGUAGCGGCGAGUGAAGCGGCAAAAGCUCAAUUUGAAUCUGGCGUCUUUGGCGUCCGAGUUGUAAUUUGAAGAAGGUAUCUUUGGGCCCGGCUCUUGUCUAUGUUCCUUGGAACAGGACGUCACAGAGGGUGAGAAUCCCGUGCGAUGAGAUGACCCGGGUCUGUGUAAAGUUCCUUCGACGAGUCGAGUUGUUUGGGAAUGCAGCUCUAAGUGGGUGGUAAAUUCCAUCUAAAGCUAAAUAUUGGCGAGAGACCGAUAGCGAACAAGUACAGUGAUGGAAAGAUGAAAAGAACUUUGAAAAGAGAGUGAAAAAGUACGUGAAAUUGUUGAAAGGGAAGGGCUUGAGAUCAGACUUGGUAUUUUGCAUGUUGCUCUCUCGGGGGCGGCCGCUGCGGUUUACCGGGCCAGCAUCGGUUUGGAGCGGCAGGAUAAUGGCGGAGGAAUGUGGCACGGCUUCUGCUGUGUGUUAUAGCCUCUGACGAUACUGCCAGCCUAGACCGAGGACUGCGG
This 539-nucleotide ribosomal RNA is filed under the name Candida africana. RNAcentral's name for it is "eukaryotic LSU rRNA". It matches the Rfam family "Eukaryotic large subunit ribosomal RNA", at positions 54 to 572 of the family's 3401-position model. The record is from RNAcentral. Lineage: Eukaryota; Fungi; Ascomycota; Pichiomycetes; Serinales; Debaryomycetaceae.